RNAcentral lists this ribosomal RNA (253 nucleotides) under uncultured bacterium. Its description in RNAcentral is "partial 16S ribosomal RNA". It matches the Rfam family "Bacterial small subunit ribosomal RNA", at positions 524 to 776 of the family's 1533-position model. The record is from RNAcentral.
UACGGGGGGGGCAAGCGUUGUUCGGAAUUACUGGGCGUAAAGGGCUCGUAGGCGGCCAACUAAGUCAGACGUGAAAUCCCUCGGCUUAACCGGGGAACUGCAUCUGAUACUGGAUGGCUUGAGUAUGGGAGAGGGAUGUAGAAUUCCAGGUGUAGCGGUGAAAUGCGUAGAUAUCUGGAGGAAUACCGGUGGCGAAGGCGGCAUCCUGGACCAUUACUGACGCUGAGGCGCGAAAGCUAGGGGAGCAAACGGG